This 515-nucleotide ribosomal RNA is filed under the name uncultured bacterium. Its description in RNAcentral is "bacterial SSU rRNA". It matches the Rfam family "Bacterial small subunit ribosomal RNA", at positions 28 to 526 of the family's 1533-position model. The record is from RNAcentral.
GAUGAAUGCUGGCGGCGUGCCUAACACAUGCAAGUCGAGCGGUAACAGGCUCACUGUUUGCUUCUCUUUUUUCGAUUUUCGAAGAAAUCAAGAGGAGUGAAGAGUGAGCGCUGACGAGCGGCGGACGGCUGAGUAACGCGUGGGAACAUGCCCCAAAGUGAGGAAUAACUGCCCGAAAGGGUGGCUAAUGCCGCAUAUGGUCUUCGGAUUAAAGUCUUCGGACGCUUUGGGAGUGGCCUGCGUUGGAUUAGGUUGUUGGUAGGGUAAUGGCCUACCAAGCCUGCGAUCCAUAACUGGUCUGAGAGGAUGAUCAGUCAGACUGGAACUGAGACACGGUCCAGACUCCUACGGGAGGCAGCAGUGAGGAAUCUUCCACAAUGGGCGAAAGCCUGAUGGAGCAACGCCGCGUGCAGGAUGAAGGCCUUCGGGUCGUAAACUGCUUUUAUAAGUGAAGAAUAUGACGGUAGCUUAUGAAUAAGCACCGGCUAACUACGUGCCAGCCGCCGCCGUAAAAC